This is a long non-coding RNA of Armigeres subalbatus, 1063 nucleotides long. RefSeq lists it as uncharacterized. NCBI's taxonomy places the organism in Eukaryota, Metazoa, Arthropoda, Insecta, Diptera, Culicidae. The transcript is spliced from 2 exons. The record is from RefSeq and is a predicted model, not a curated record.
CGUCAAUGAUGAACUCGGUGCAUUGGACCAUAGACGAAUCCAAGUAAAAAUAAGAAGAAGACACACGACGGUGUUAACUUUGACAGAUCCUACAGCACAGCAUAGGAAGAUCAUUUUAAAAUGCUUAUAAUAAAUUCUAGACAAAAUGUAAUUAAAAUCUGAUUGAUGUACGAUACGGAAAAAGUUCUGAAUUACAUAUUCGGAAGCUUAUCUCAAUUUUUUGAAUAUUUUCCAAAAAUAUAUCUAUCAUACAGUUCGGAACUUUUUCCGUAUCAUACUUCAAUCAGAUUUUAAUUACAUUUUGUCUAGAAUUUAUUAUAAGCAUUUUAAAAUGAUCUCCCUAUGCUGUGCUGUAGGAUCUGUCAAAGUUAACACCGUCGUGUGUCUUCUUCUUAUUUUUACUUGGAUUCGUCUAUCACCGUUUUGUAACUUUCGUAAACAUUUCAUUGAUCUGUGUCGUGGGUGUUCAGUGAAUUUUGGUCUUGGUCGGCCCCGUAGUUAAUAAAUUUUGCAAAUUUGCAAAUUUUGCGGUCUUUCCUCGCUUUUGUGACAGCCAUCAAGAAGCUGGACGUAUUCAUAAGAAGCAGCAAAAAUCUGAAUAAGGGAAACUACGCAAAGAUACUACCCGUUGCAAAGCUUAGCGGUUUUUUCUAGAUUGAGAUCACACUCUAUGACGCAAUUGGUACCGAUCUUGAGAACGGCGGUGCAUUCGAGUAUUCAUACCAUCAAGGAUGCUCGCCACAGGAAACCUUCCGUCUAUCUACGGGGAUAUUCCGCCGCCAAACUUCGAAUAUACACUCAGCAAACAGUACAUACUUCAUGUAUAUACUCCGGCGAACAUCGUUGCGGAAAUAUAUCAGGCGCCAAGCGCAACAGGUUGGUCUGCAUUCUAUUCGGUAUCACCCAGAAGGAUAUGAUGAAGUGCUACGACCUCCUGUCUAGUUUGGCCAAAGCGAAAUCAAUUCAAACUACACAAACAAUGGCAUUCGACAGCAUACAAUAAAUAUUUAUCGAUGUGAUGAUCUGCGCCGUCGACUGAGCAAUUUCGAACUGCGUACACCGU